GCCGGGAUAGCCUAGUGGUUAUGACGUCUGCCUUACACGCAGAAGGUCGCGAGUUCGACCCUCGCUUCUGGUA
Molecule: non-coding RNA, 73 nt
Organism: Perkinsus marinus ATCC 50983
Lineage: Eukaryota; Perkinsozoa; Perkinsida; Perkinsidae
Source: Rfam